This 705-nucleotide ribosomal RNA is filed under the name Lucinoma annulata gill symbiont. Its description in RNAcentral is "16S ribosomal RNA". It matches the Rfam family "Bacterial small subunit ribosomal RNA", at positions 202 to 887 of the family's 1533-position model. The record is from RNAcentral. Lineage: Bacteria; Pseudomonadati; Pseudomonadota; Gammaproteobacteria.
AAAGCGGGGGAUCUUCGGACCUYGCGCUAUUNGAUGAGCNUGCGUUGGAUUAGCUUGUUGGUGAGGUNAUGGCUCACUAAGGCGACGAUCCAUAGCUNGUCUGAGAGGACGAUCAGCYNCACUGGGACUGAGACNCGGCCNNGNCUCCUACGGGAGGCAGCAGUGGGGAAUAUUGGACAAUGGGGGCAACCCUGAUCCAGCAAUACCGCGUGUGUGAAGAAGGCCUGCGGGUUGUAAAGCACUUUCAAUUGUGAAGAAAAGCUUAGGGUUAAUAACCCUGGGUCUUGACGUUAACUUUAGAAGAAGCACCGGCUAACUCCGUGCCAGCAGCCGCGGUAAUACGGAGKGUGCAAGCGUUAAUCGGAAUUACUGGGCGUAAAGCGCGCGUAGGUGGUUUGGUAAGUCAGAUGUGAAAGCCCCGGGCUCAACCUGGGAACUGCAUUUGAAACUGCUUGACUAGAGUAUAGUAGAGGGAAGCGGAAUUCCGGGUGUAGCGGUGAAAUGCGUAGAUAUCCGGAGGAACAUCAGUGGCGAAGGCGGCUUCCUGGACUAAUACUGACACUGAGGUGCGAAAGCGUGGGUAGCAAACAGGAUUAGAUACCCUGGUAGUCCACGCCGUAAACGAUGUCAACUAGCCGUUGGACUCAUUAUNAGGGUUUAGUGGAGCACGUAACGCGAUAAGUUGACNGCCUNGGGAGUACGGCC